GUUGAUAACCUACCUAUAAGACUGGGAUAACUUCGGGAAACCGGAGCUAAUACCGGAUAAUAUAUUGAACCGCAUGGUUCAAUAGUGAAAGACGGUUUUGCUGUCACUUAUAGAUGGAUCCGCGCCGCAUUAGCUAGUUUGUAAGGUAACGGCUUACCAAGGCAACGAUGCGUAGCCGACCUGAGAGGGUGAUCGGCCACACUGGAACUGAGACACGGUCCAG
RNAcentral lists this ribosomal RNA (223 nucleotides) under uncultured Staphylococcus sp. RNAcentral describes it as "partial 16S ribosomal RNA". It matches the Rfam family "Bacterial small subunit ribosomal RNA", at positions 117 to 334 of the family's 1533-position model. The record is from RNAcentral. Lineage: Bacteria; Bacillati; Bacillota; Bacilli; Caryophanales; Staphylococcaceae.